ACCGUGUGUUAACGAGAUAUUGAUCGCGUUUUUACCGCGCUUUGACGAAGCACUGACCGUGUUCUUACGACCAUUACGACCAAACCAGACUCUAGUUUUUGCAAAAAGACAAGAUUAAAUGAUGGAUAGAUAAUGCUCUAAAGGGGCACUUGCAUUUCCAGUUGCGCUACCGGUUUUUAUUCUGUCCGAUGGAUUUUUGUCGAGACACUUGAAAUAUAGGUCACCAAGCUGAAAGUAAGCUUUGGCUUCACCAAACAAGGUAAGUUUUUUUUUACCGUAACAUGAUUGUUGCUCAUGAUACAGUAAGGUAAAUAAGAUUACACUCAGGAUUACCCACACUAGGAUUAUACAUGGUCAAGGCUGGAUUCAGUUCGUGGAUCUUCUGCUGGGUUGCAUCCUCUCUCAUUAGUGAAAAUACAACGUCAACGAGAACUUGCUCAUCAACAAUAGAUUUUUACUCUAAGACAAAGGCAGUGAACUCUAUUUAUAUCUGGAGUGAGAACUUGGUUGCUGAAAGUGAAGCCAAAGAUGGCGGAAAUUGACGUCCAGUGCCAGUCCUUUCUAUUGUUUUUGUCCGCGCGGUCAACACAAAUUGACGUCCAGUGCCAGUUCCUUUCUAUUGUUUUUCG
Molecule: non-coding RNA, 629 nt
Organism: Paramuricea clavata
Lineage: Eukaryota; Metazoa; Cnidaria; Anthozoa; Malacalcyonacea; Plexauridae
Source: the annotation of a GenBank genome assembly